GACGAACGCUGGCGGCGUGCUUAACACAUGCAAGUCGAACGGAAAGGCCCUGCUUUUUUGGGGUGCUCGAGUGGCGAACGGGUGAGUAACACGUGAGUAACCUGCCCUUGACUUUGGGAUAACUUCCGGAAACUGGGGCUAAUUCCUGAUAGGUGCUCCUUCUGCAUGGUGUGGGUUGGAAAGUUUCGGCGGCUGGGGCUGGACUCGCGGCUUAUCAGCUUGUUGGUGGGGUAGUGGCUUACCAAGGCUUUGACGGGUAGCCGGCCUGAGAGGGUGACCGGGCACAGUGGGACUGAGAUACGGCCAAGACGCAUACGGGAGGAAGCAGUGGGGAAUAUUGCACAAUGGGCGGAAGCAUGAAGCAGCAACUCCGCGUGCGGGAGGACGGCCUUCGGGGUGGAAACCGCUUUCGCCGGUGACGAAGCGGGAGUGACGGUAAUGGGUAAAGAAGCACCGGCUAACUACGUG
RNAcentral lists this ribosomal RNA (468 nucleotides) under uncultured bacterium. RNAcentral describes it as "partial 16S ribosomal RNA". It matches the Rfam family "Bacterial small subunit ribosomal RNA", at positions 28 to 507 of the family's 1533-position model. The record is from RNAcentral.